RNAcentral lists this long non-coding RNA (1198 nucleotides) under Pogona vitticeps (central bearded dragon). Its description in RNAcentral is "lncRNA (ENSPVIG00000022238.1)". Lineage: Eukaryota; Metazoa; Chordata; Lepidosauria; Squamata; Agamidae. The record is from RNAcentral.
GCUCCUUCCUGGAGGACCGCCCCCAGAGAGUACAGCUUGGGGAGAGGGUCUCAGCCCCGUGGAAUCUCAAUUGUGGGGUUCCACAGGGGUCGAUCAUCUCUCCAAUGCUGUUUAACAUCUUCAUGAGGCUGCUGGGCGGGGUCAUCAGAGGGUGUGGGGCAUUGUGUCACCAGUACGCUGAUGACACACAGCUCUACAUCUCUUUUACUCCAACUUCAGUGGAUGCCAUCCAGUCCCUCCAGCGCUGCCUGGAGACCGUACUGUGGAAUGGAUGCAGUCAAAUGGAUUGAGGCUGAACCCGGACAAGACGGAGGUCUUGAGGGUGGGUGGCCCUCCCGUCAGUGGCAUAGGUGACUCCCUUUCUUUUGGAGGGACGACCCUUGCCGCAAAGAGUGAGGUCCGCAGCUUGGGGAUACAUCUGGACCCAGCGCUUACCAUGGAAACCCAGGUGACGUCCGUGGUCCGCUCCGCCUAUUUUAAUCUAUGGCGGAUUGCCCAGCUGCGGCCAUAUCUUGAUCGGGGGGCCCUCACUACUCUAGUCCAUGAGCUCGUAAUCUCGAGAUUAGACCAUUGUAAUGCACUCUACGUGGGGCUGCCUUUGAGGCUCAUGUGGAACCUUCAGAUGGUCCAGAAUGCAACAGCCAGGCUUCUUAGUGGGGUGAGAAAAUUUCAGCACAUCUCCCCCACUCUGGCUGCACUGCACUGGUUACCUAUUCAUUUCCUCAUCGACUUCAAAGUGUUAAUGAUUACAUAUAAAGCCCUAAACGGUUUGGGGCCUCAAUAUUUGGCAGAUCGCCUCCUCCCACCCAGAUCUACCCGAAUCACCCGACAUAGCCAGCAGGGGUGGCUGAGGAGACUGACGCCGAGGGAGGCCCGGAAGGAGAAAACAAGAAACCGGGCCUUCUCGGCGGUCACCCCUCGGCUGUGGAACACACUUCCCACUGAAAUUCGGCUGGGACCCUCGCUGGGUAGGUUCAAAAACCAAUUAAAAACUUGGUUAUUUAAACAGGCCUUACCCCCCCCCAGUCACCUAAGUUCUUUUCUUUCUUUUUCUUCUGGUUCUUAAUUUUGCCAUCUUGGAUAGGAUUAAUUAUAAUAAUUGCACUAUGCUCGGUAUUUUAUGUUGUUUUAAUGUGUUUUAAUCUUUGUAAGCCACCCCGAGUAGACGUUGUCUAGCGGGGCGGGGGAAAAAUUGAAU